AGCAAAACUCGUCAACCAGUAGCAGUGACAUCAUUUGACUACUGAUUUGUUGAGCAAUCAUAAAGACAGUGGACAGUGCAGGAGUGAAAGGUCAAGUACACACUAUGAAGAAAUACCAGCAGUAUCAGGGCUUUGUGGUAUACAGGCUAGCACGUCAGCAUGUAGUGAGCUGCAAGAGAACCAAGAGAGGUAUGUAAAACCAUCAGAAAAACAAUUGCCAUCAACACCAGAUGUUAUAAUACUUAAUUGACGCUUGAUUAAUGUUAAAAGACUGAAACAUUUAAAGACUGUCCUCAAUCAACAACAACAACAACAACAACAACAAACACACCUUACCAAAUACACAUUAAAUAUUUUCCCCAAGACUUUAGCUUCCUUUGUCAACAAACUGACAUUGAUUAUUUUGUAUCAGAAACUUGAAUUAUCUACAGUCCUUAAUUAUAAUUUCUCUUUCUGUUGAAGUAACCUUGUCAUUUUAAAGUGUUUUUAUAUAUCUAAUGUUAAAAUAUCUUUUUGUGUUUUCUCAAUAAGACUUUUGAUUAUAAUGAUGGAUAAUCAUAAAUUUUUGUAAAUAAAGAUGUAUUGAAAAUA
Octopus bimaculoides (California two-spot octopus) is the source of this 591-nucleotide long non-coding RNA. The record is from RefSeq and is a predicted model, not a curated record. NCBI's taxonomy places the organism in Eukaryota, Metazoa, Mollusca, Cephalopoda, Octopoda, Octopodidae.